This 3037-nucleotide long non-coding RNA is filed under the name Homo sapiens (human). RNAcentral's name for it is "HSALNT0031522". The record is from RNAcentral. Lineage: Eukaryota; Metazoa; Chordata; Mammalia; Primates; Hominidae.
CCCUCUUUUCCCUACCCGAUUCCCAGGCAGCCAGUGAUUUCCUUUCUUUCACUAGAUGAUAGUUUGUACUUCCUAGAUUUCAUGUAAAUGAAAUCAUAAAGUAUGAUGUUUUUUAGGCUUGCCUCUUUCAUGAAUCAUAGUUAUUUUUUGUAUAUCAACAGUUUAUUCCUUUUUAUUGCUAAAUAGCAUUUCAUUACAUGAGCAGAUAACAGUUUAUUUAUUCAUCUGUGGAUGAGCCUUUGGUUUGUUUCUUUUUUCAGCUAUCAUAAAAGGACUAUGGAUAUUUCUGAUAUAAGCCCUAGAAGUUGCCAAGAUAAUUUCCAAAUUAGUUUCAACAUUAUACAUUCACCAGAAAUGUAUGAGAGUUCCAGCUCUUCCAUAUCCUGGCCAAAUUUGAUACUUGAAGUCCUCUUAUGAAGCAUUACUGUUUUCUCAAAAAUCUGCCAUUAGCAUUGGAAGGAAUUGUAACUGAGCCCCCAUCUUGCCUGUGUCACUCUUGAAACCCAGCUGCCAUGCUAUGAGUAAGUCCAAUUAGCAAAAGUCCCUGAUAGAGAGGAUUUGAGGCCUGCUGACAGCCUUGACUGAGAUUUCAGCCAACACCCAAUAUCAAUUUUGCUAACCGGCCUUAACUUUCUCUAGGAAUGAUCUUACAUCCAUGGAUGUGACUGUCUGAGCAAGUGGAAGAAGCCAUGGUAUAACACAGAUUAAAUUAUCUCAGUGAUGAUGGUAAUCAUUUCCAAAAGAAGGUAGUGGUCCUCUUCCCUGAACUGUAAGAACUGUGAUUUCAUGCACUCCAAGUUGAGAACCCCUGCAGGAUCCUGAGUUGACUAAAUCCUAAUCAGUACGGCAGUCAAAGAUUCCGUAGUGCCUGGCCAUUGUAUGGAAAGAUCAGUCUUCUCAAGGUUAUUAAAAUCUCCCAUAAUAUAUUCACUGUGUACUUACAUGAAUACAAUGAUGUCAACUAAAAUACAAUUUAUUUCAAAUUUUUAAUUUUGUGUUGUCUAUUAAGUAUGCUUACAUUUUUAUGUCAACAUGGUUUCACUUUUUAUGUUAGAAAAUGCUAAGCAAUAAAUGCUACAGCUGAAUGUUGAAAGGUAUUAGUGUUGCUUGAAGCUCACCAAAUAAACACCCAGAUACUCCACGGGUAUAGCCCAGUCCUGACCUUCAGUGGAUAGGAAACUAUUCAGUGAAAUGUAAUGCACAGUACUGGAUUAUGGUCAGUGGAAUUUUUCAAAAUAAAUUAUCCAUAUCUGUAUUACUUGAUUCGGCUUGACUCCUCUUUUAACUAAAGUAUGUUUUAACUGUUUUUUUUCUUUUUUCUUUUUUUUUUUUUUGAGACAGAGACUCCCUCUGUCGCACAGGCUGGAAUGGAGUGCAGUGGCACGAUCGCGGCUCACUGCAAGCUCCGCCUCCGGGGUUCACACCAUUCUCCUGCCUCAGCCUCCCAAGUAGCUGGGACUACAGGAGCCCGCCACUACACCCGGCUAAUUUUUUGUAUUUUUAGUGGAGACGGGGUUUCACCGGGUUAGCCAGGAUGGUCUCGAUCUCCCGACCUCGUCAUCUGCCCGCCUCAGCCUCCCAAAGUGCUGGGAUUACAGGCGUGAGCCACCACGCCCGGCCCAACUAUUUUUUAUUAAUUACUGGCAAACUCCUAUUUUCCAGCCACUUCUGUUAUUCUUAUAAAACACUUUUACACUAUUUACAAAUGUGCAUUAAUACAAAAUUAUUGGUUUAUGCGAUUUCUCAAAAAAAUUUCAUCAUGUACCUCAAAGCUUAAGGUAGUUGGAGGUUCAAGUUCCAAUUAGAACUUAGUGCAAAUCCCUUCUGCAGAUACAAGUAUAGUAAAAUAAUUAUUGCCUGGGAAUUUCAGAAACCUUUUAUAGCUCCUGCUAUUGUCUUCUUGCCAAAAUGAACUAUCUGCUCAUUUAUUCUAAAUUAGAAUUGUGCAGUUAACAAAGAUCAAGAAGAUUAAAAACAUGGUGUGAAGCCAGUUUAGCAUAACAUUUAGUAUUUCCUUUUGUAAGUACUGCUCUCCUGUGCUUAGUUAAGUAUUAUUUAAGAUACUAUUGGAUCUUUAUAGAAUGUUCCCAUGAUUAAAAUUUAAUUUUGACACUACAACAUGUACAAAGUUCUGUCAAGUAUUAUUAAUGAUUAAACAAUGAGGAAAUAUGUUAUUACAGUGUGUUCAAUCUUUAAUGUCCAUUAAAUCCACUUGGUAAGUGUAAGUGGAAAUGAUACUAACUACAAUUCUCAUUCUCUAGUCCUUUACACAUUAUAAAGAAAUGAGGAUCUUACAAUACCAAUCAAUAAGUGAUGAAAAGAAACUGUGCGUGGUGGCUGAAAUUUGAAUGGGCCUUUCACAGAAAUCUUAUUAUUCUCCUACUAGGGACAGUGCAGAACAGACAUUCCACUUCCCGCUUUGUAAGCAAAUGCCUAGGCGUGUAGCACUGUGAUUAUAUUUCUAUCUUCGGCCUUAGAUCAUCUUCAGCAUCAGAGAGUUCUGAAAAUCCCAUUAAGAAGUCAUUUCAAGGAAACAUAAAUGUUCUUUGAAAUAAUCUUCAAUGCUUUUCUAAUUUUUUAUAUUAAUGUCUCCUGCAACCCUCUUCCCAGAAUGGGUAAUAAAUCCUCUUAUAUUUAUGCACAGAGAGAUAUGUAUAUACAGUUUAUUUACUUCCUGUUUUAAUUGCUGUCCUAACUAAAUACAACACAUGUAAUGCAAAUGUUUGCCAAACUUUGUAUGGGUUGUACUUAACAUGUAUAACACUGGCAUUUUAGCUGAACUGAUCGUGACAAAGCAUUCCUGAAUAAAAAUUACUUUUUUAGAAAGGAAACAGUUCUGUUGCAAAAUCAAGUUUUUACUUUUUCUUAUGGUUUUGUAGCCUAACGAAAAAUGAAUACAUGAUGAAAUGUAUCCCAAUUUCCUUCCACUUUUAAUUGAUCUUCAUAGGCUUGAGGGAAUUUGUCUUUAUAUUCAUCUCCCAGGGAGAAUUUCCACCAAAUUAUUUGAGUGAGUUAUCAUCAUUCAACUUUGCCUGGC